AUGAGCAAAUUAUCAAUUGACU
Molecule: microRNA, 22 nt
Filed under: Schmidtea mediterranea
Lineage: Eukaryota; Metazoa; Platyhelminthes; Tricladida; Dugesiidae
Description: sme-miR-87c-3p
Gene: sme-miR-87c-3p
Source: miRBase by way of RNAcentral